Long non-coding RNA from Setaria italica (foxtail millet), 2164 nucleotides. RefSeq lists it as uncharacterized. The record is from RefSeq and is a predicted model, not a curated record. NCBI's taxonomy places the organism in Eukaryota, Viridiplantae, Streptophyta, Magnoliopsida, Poales, Poaceae. The transcript is spliced from 8 exons.
GGCGACAGGCCUUCCUCACCCACCUCGAAAACCGCCUUGUGCAGGAUGUCCGAUAGGAACAGCGGCUCGUGCGAUCCGUCGAGCUCUAACAUGUCUGGCAGAUCAGCGGCUCCUGUUGAGAACAUCGUUUCGAUCCCGAGAUCCUGGUGGAGAGCAUGCUUCAGGCUCGUGGUCGUGGAGCGAAGGAUAUCCUGAGCUUGGGCACCCGGAACUCGCCAACAUUGACAGGCCACUCCGGUAGGUGCUCGUGGAGGAAGCUCGGGCUCGACGCCAUCGUGUCGUGGAGGCUCCAUAGACCGUCGUGCGCGUCCGGCAAGACUAUAUGUGUACAUGGAGUGCCGUGGGAACUGGGGCAUGGACAUGUUCCUCGCCCACAAGAGGCCACCCUCGCGGCACGUCGCGCCGACGACGUGGAGGAGCUCGCUGAGGUUUCUGCCGCGGGCGCCGGCGGCCAUCACGGAGAGCGAGGAGUAGAUGGACAACGGCGAGAAGACGAGGUUUCCGGCACUGCACGCGCCAUCUCUAGGGGACUUGGCGCCAUGGGCUUGUAGUUCCAUACUCGAUUUUAUCGGUGGGUAACAAAUGAAGGCUGACUACUAGAGCUCAAAGGCACUGGAUACACUGCCAGUGAGUACUAUGAAUCUCCUCCAGAACACUUUGGACGCCAGAUCCAUCCGCACAUAUAACUUUAAUAAUCCUUCUCUAACCAGCCACACAGGUAAUCAACAAGUACAACAACCGCACUGUAUCCUUAAUUGUAGUUAUUACAUCCAUUACCGAUACAUAAGUUGAUCUUAGCAACAAUACGUCCAAUGCCAAUAUGAAUAAAUCAACAAAGACUAUUAACAGAUUACACAUUUAAUGGCCCUUCUAGGGUUUAGGGCAAUUGAACCCAUCCAAUCAGGUCAAUAUGGACAGAAAUAUACUUGAAUAAGCUCAUGAGAGACAACUGCCUUGUCACUCUUCAGUAUCAAAACUAAUUAUCAUCAAUAAUGGCCUUUCCGAUCGUGAAUCAAAAUAAUGGAGAUUUAUAUAAAGGUAAUCCCUUCAGUUCAAGAUCUCUAUUAAUAUUUUCAUGCGCACUUUUCUUAUUUCAUUAUGUGUGCUAACAAAUCAUCUUGUAAGCAUGUUCCACCUUUUCGCAGUGAAGCAACCAACGCCACAUCGACGAGCAGUUUGAUGGCAAAGCUGAUUCCUCCGUGCUUAUCAACUCUAUUGUUUCAAUAAUAACCUCUAAGAUUGCCUUAGUUAAUUAUGUUACGAACUACUUCUUCUUGUCUCUAUCUAUAAUGUAUUAUAUGUUCCCAUUCGAAUUCAACUACCGUCAAACUAAGUAAUUUUACAGAUUAUCUGAAACGAUAUUUUAUAUAUUGUACUUGCCACCCUGUGCUUAUCUAAUAUAUUUUCAUUACUUCCCUAUGUUUCUACUAUAUCCCCUGCAUGACACAUCCAAAUGCAACGGUGUACGCACGCAUGGGCUUUCAAUAAUAAUGACACCUUAUAAGUCGUAAGCUGGAGAUUCUAAAGAAAUCAAGUACUACUACUGAAGAUAAUGAUGCUGCUUCGGAGCCAGCCAUUGAUUCUGCUGUGCGUUUGGAUGUGCCCCAGGUUAAAGAAGUGACAAGAGAUGAUAAGGAUUUGAGGAUUGAUGGUGUUGACAAGGAACUUGGAACAAAUGGCCAUGAGCUGGAUCAGUGUGGUGUUGCAGUGGAUGAGGAUGAUUUGAAUUGCAAGGAGAAAGAUCUCCAUACCAAAGCUUCAGAUGAGGGUGAAUGUGAGCUUUGGUCCCAACGAGGAUCGUAUUCUCAUGACUGGAAUGCAUAUAGUGAAUGAUAUCUACUGUAGCUGCUGCCAACGACUCCUUGGCUGGAGAUAUCUCGUAACCUGAUGGUAUCAGCUAGGGUGAAUGAUGAAUAAUUGCUGCAUCUUCUCAUCUUCUGUAGAAGGCCAAUAGGUGAAGGUGCCUCUGUCAAUUAACCUAUGGUCUCAUGAUUAGUUAGGUUUUUCUUGAAAUUGUAAUAAUGUCUAUUGGGUUGUGAUCUCCGCAUUAUUUAUGAACACAAGAAUCAUGUGGUGCACAGCAGUAUUCAGUGUCCAAGCUGUAGCUUAAACUUUGGAUAAUCAGAUUAUUACAUGCAAUGAGAUUAAUAUGGCACGUGCUCCA